Molecule: non-coding RNA, 45 nt
Organism: Pongo abelii (Sumatran orangutan)
Lineage: Eukaryota; Metazoa; Chordata; Mammalia; Primates; Hominidae
Source: Rfam
AUAUAGACCUCUCUAGAGGUCACCAAAUUAUUCUUAAAAAUAAGA